Xenia sp. Carnegie-2017 is the source of this 611-nucleotide long non-coding RNA. RefSeq lists it as uncharacterized. The transcript has 3 exons. The record is from RefSeq and is a predicted model, not a curated record. Lineage: Eukaryota; Metazoa; Cnidaria; Anthozoa; Malacalcyonacea; Xeniidae.
AACACAGGCGUUACGUUCAUGUUUGCAAUGGCACGCACGGCAGAAUAUCAAACGCUUACUCACGCUAAAGAGGAUGUAUUCACGAAAUUCAAGUCACUAACAAAUUGGUGAAAAGCCCUUUCGUACAAAGACUUUUGUCCGCUAUCGCUAAUGAGGUUGCUCUAACUGCGCCAUGAACCAUCUUGCUCAUCUGUCACUUGUUAACGGCCAUAUAAAUUCAACAAGAAAUCACUGGCGAUAUCUUAUGGGAGUUAGUGAGGUUUUAAUUAUUUGAAGCAAUCAUAACAUUGUGUCUUAAUAUUAAAUUUUAAUAGUAAUUAAAACACAGAACUUCAUCAAUCGGAAUUCAGUGCCAAAAUAUCAAACAAUUUGUAGAUUACUUUUCUUCUAUUAAAGGACAAAGUUUAUAUUUUCGUAAAAUACACAUAAUUAACAUGUUUGUUAAAAGCUCUUUCGUGCAAAUACUUUUGAGUAAAAAAUUUUUCUAUUUAUUAAUGUAAUUUGUUGUGAUUUUCUUUUAAUGUGUGCACUCGAUCUUGAAUAUUCAACCAAAGAAGUUCAGUGUACUCUAUAAGCAACAAAUAAAUGACAUAUUAUCAUCUUGGAAGAAA